UACAGAGGUCUCAAGCGUUGUUCGGAUUCAUUGGGCGUAAAGGGUGCGUAGGCGGCGCGGUAAGUCGGGUGUGAAAUCUCGGGGCUUAACUCCGAAACUGCAUUCGAUACUGCCGUGCUUGAGGACUGGAGAGGAGACUGGAAUUUACGGUGUAGCGGUGAAAUGCGUAGAUAUCGUAAGGAAGACCAGUGGCGAAGGCGGGUCUCUGGACAGUUCCUGACGCUGAGACGCGAAAGCGUGGGGAGCGAACAGG
Molecule: ribosomal RNA, 253 nt
Filed under: uncultured bacterium
Lineage: Bacteria
Description: partial 16S ribosomal RNA
Rfam family: Bacterial small subunit ribosomal RNA
Source: RNAcentral